CCUACAGCUGUAGAGACUUUACGUUGACACAAUGUCAUUGAUGAGGAUGGAAUUUCUUAAUGGAAAUCACUAUGGAAAAGAAGAAUAUUUCUGUUUAGGUUGUUCAUUUAAUCAAGGGAGAUCACCCAGCAAAUACUUCCAUGCUUCCUGGCAAAAAGUUGUUGAUUAUUGUGUUACUGUAGUCAUCUCACCAGAGAUGUUGUUCUUGUGUGAGUGGACAGCUCAGAGAAUACAUGCAGAAAGUGCAAUUCGAAAGGAUUGCCUCUGGAAAGUCUCUUACUUCACAAAGAGACUUGACAGGCAUUGACAUCAGGACAUCAGUCGUAGAGCAUACUGGUUACAGUGGUGGAGAGACUUGUCUGGUGUCAAUGAAGUGUCAGCAGGCAAAUCCAUGAAGCAUCAUGGCAUGAAAAGCAGACCUUGUCUUUGGAUGAAUAGUUUAGGGAUAAAGGCCAAACCCUUCAGUUCCUGGAGUGCCAACAUGUUCCUGUUCCUCCAAGACCUCCAAAUUAUGAGAAGUGAUUCUGAAUUGAAUUUUCACAGAUCAGCCAACAGAAGAACAGGUAGUGACUAAACCUUGCAAAUUAGUAGCUAAGAGUAAAGACCACUUCUCUCCUAUAUUGCAGAAUAUUAUUUUGUGGAAAAUCUAGCAAGACAAUUUACUAACUCCAGUUGCGAUCCAUGCUAAUAAACUUACUUGCUACAAAUUUUGUUGAUGUAGUGUACAUUAUUUUCUCUCAUGGAAGCGCAGCAAUAAAUAUUGACUGAAUUAAAUUAUGGACAAAGGGAUGUAGUGAAAAGGAACUUUUAGCCAGAAGCUAUCAGGCCUGUGAACUGA
Cygnus olor (mute swan) is the source of this 838-nucleotide long non-coding RNA. RefSeq lists it as uncharacterized. The record is from RefSeq and is a predicted model, not a curated record. The transcript is spliced from 3 exons. Lineage: Eukaryota; Metazoa; Chordata; Aves; Anseriformes; Anatidae.